GAGAGUAUAGCUCAAGUGAUAGAGCACAUGCUUGGCACGCAUGAGGUGCUGGGUUCAAUCCCCAGUUCCUCCU
This 73-nucleotide transfer RNA is filed under the name Camelus bactrianus (Bactrian camel). It matches the Rfam family "tRNA". From Rfam's summary of the family: Transfer RNA (tRNA) molecules are approximately 80 nucleotides in length. Their secondary structure includes four short double-helical elements and three loops (D, anti-codon, and T loops). Further hydrogen bonds mediate the characteristic L-shaped molecular structure. tRNAs have two regions of fundamental functional importance: the anti-codon, which is responsible for specific mRNA codon recognition, and the 3' end, to which the tRNAs corresponding amino acid is attached (by aminoacyl-tRNA synthetases). tRNAs cope with the degeneracy of the genetic code in two manners: having more than one tRNA (with a specific anti-codon) for a particular amino acid; and 'wobble' base-pairing, i.e. permitting non-standard base-pairing at the 3rd anti-codon position. The record is from Rfam by way of RNAcentral. Lineage: Eukaryota; Metazoa; Chordata; Mammalia; Artiodactyla; Camelidae. RNAcentral also lists the same sequence under 2 other names.